GGGCAGAGAGUUGCUGUGGUUUCACCAGUGGAGGAUCCGAGAGGGGUGCAAGGGCGGCGACGUUUGUACAAUGCCGAAUAAAACGAAAAAGGACAAGGAUUCAUCAAAAUCUGGGAAAGUGGGCAAAAGCGGAGGAGGGCAGGAGAAUUCACAACAUGAGCAGAGCUCCAACAGGAAGACCAGCAACAGCGUCCCGCCGACCACCCAGCUCCUCAAGGGCAAGCAGCCGGGCUCCCAGACGCCCGUCAAGAAGGACAAACGGCAGAGCUCCUCUCGCUUUAGCUUGAGCAACAACCGGGAGUUGCAGAAGCUGCCCGCUUUCAAAGAUGUUGCCCCGGCCGAGCAGGAGAAGCUUUUCAUCCAGAAGCUGCGGCAGUGCUGCGUCCUCUUCGAUUUUAUCUCGGAUCCGCUGAGUGACCUAAAAUGGAAAGAGGUGAAGCGGGCGGCGCUGAGUGAGAUGGUGGAGUACAUCACGCACAACCGCAACGUCAUCACCGAGCCCAUCUACCCCGAAGUGGUCCACAUGUUUGCCGUGAAUAUGUUCAGGACCUUGCCGCCGUCGUCCAACCCAACGGGCGCCGAGUUCGAUCCAGAGGAAGACGAGCCCACGCUGGAGGCCGCGUGGCCGCAUCUUCAGCUCGUCUACGAGUUCUUCCUGCGCUUCUUAGAGUCGACCGACUUUCAACCCAACGUAGCCAAAAAAUACAUUGACCAGAAGUAUGUAAUGCAGCUCCUAGAAUUGUUUGACAGCGAAGACCCCAGGGAAAGAGAUUUUUUAAAGACCACCCUGCAUCGCAUCUACGGGAAGUUCCUGGGCCUGCGAGCGUACAUUAGGAAACACAUUAAUCACAUAUUUUAUAGUUUUAUUUAUGAGACUGAGCAUCAUAAUGGAAUUGCUGAACUACUGGAAAUAUUGGGCAGUAUAAUCAAUGGAUUUGCGUUACCCUUGAAAGAAGAACACAAGAUAUUCCUACUGAAAGUUCUGCUGCCGUUGCACAAAGUGAAAUCAUUGAGCGUUUACCACCCGCAGCUGGCCUACUGUGUGGUACAGUUCCUCGAGAAGGACAGCACGCUCACGGAACCGACCGUUAUGGCUCUGUUGAAGUACUGGCCCAAGACCCACAGCCCCAAAGAGGUGAUGUUCCUCAACGAGCUGGAGGAGAUCCUGGACGUCAUCGAGCCGUCCGAGUUCGUCAAAGUCAUGGAGCCGCUCUUCAGGCAGCUGGCCAAAUGCGUGUCCAGCCCGCACUUCCAGGUGGCCGAACGGGCGCUCUACUACUGGAACAACGAGUACAUCAUGAGCCUGAUCAGCGACAACGCCGCCAAGAUCCUGCCCAUCAUGUUCCCGGCGCUCUACCGCAACUCCAAAACGCACUGGAACAAGACCAUCCAUGGCUUGAUCUAUAAUGCCCUCAAGCUUUUCAUGGAGAUGAACCAAAAGCUGUUUGACGACUGUACGCAGCAGUUCAGGGCAGAGAAAAGCAAAGAGAAAGCCAAAUGGAAGGAGCGAGAAGAAGCCUGGCUCAAGAUUGAGAAUCUCGCCAAGUCCAAUCCGCAGUUUCUGACGUACACUGAGCCGGUGAACUCCAGCGGACCAACGGACAUGGAGACGGACGGGCCGCUGCUAGAUGACGUCAGCCUGCUGAAGAAAACAGUAGCCGAGGAAGCCACACAGCUGCAGAAAGACCAGCGACGAGAGCGGCCGCUAAUGCGGAGGAAAUCCGAGCUGCCCAAGGACAUCUCCACCGUCACAGCUCUGGAGCUUCACCGGAGAGCAGAAGAGAUGUUGACCACGCACGACGGCCACUAACGAGCCACGAAUCUCUCGGCCCGGCCCGGCCAGGCACAACGCAUCCGUUCAACCCCGCCACCCUACCUUGCCCCUUUUCAACCUCAAGCUGCAGCGGACAAAGCGGCGCUGGGUCGUCACCCAUCACCACCUCCUUUUGUGUUCUCCCUUCCUCUUGACUAUUAUAUCUGGGGUGAUGUGCUGCCCCCUUGUGGUCAUUGCUCUCAGGCGUUCCGUCUCUUUCUAGAUGUCAGGUGCUUUCACAACAGCGACAAAAACAAACAAUAAUGUCAGCAUGUGCCCAGUGUAAAAUCUUCAAGUGGAGGCAAGUUUUUAAUAUAGUUUUCCAAAUAUUGAAGGUGAUGGUCACGCCGACUUAUCUCCUGAGUUAAGGUCUGUCAAAAUAAAACCUCUUAUUUUUGUAGGGGAGACAGGUUGUUAAGCACCAAUUUCCUGAGAGGUGCCGCUGCAAUGGGGCGGCAGAAUCUACCUGACAGUCUUCGCUUCAUCUCAGAUGUGACCCCUCAACCCCCACCCCACCCCUUCCUUUGCUCAUUGACCCCCAGGUAGGGAUGACACUGCUUCACACAGGAGGUAUGUUUGUUUUCAUUUUUUUAAGAAGAGCUCAAACGCGCCUUUCUUUUUUCGCAGUGCCUUUUUUAUGAAGGGGGACAUUUGAUCAAGUAGGAAUUUUAAAAAGUCCUCCAAAGCACACGCCUUGCUUUAAAGCCCGCCCCCCCAACCUCCUGCCGAAUAAACGGGGGGGGGUCUCGUUAGAGGUGCGGGAGCCUCUCGAACGAACGAAGCACUUCCUGAUUACACUUGAACGUUUAAAAACUCGUAAAGAGAUCUCGUCGCGUCUCACCCAUUUGAACAAUCUUGGUUUUGUGCCCACCCGCCCCGCCCCUGCCCACCCAACCAUCCACCAACACCUUUAAUCAUUAAGCUGAAUGUGCGAAUUAUAAAUAUGUCGCCUGUCAUCAGUAUUGUCUGGUUGCUGUCCUCUCUGGAAAAAAAGGCUUUAAUAAUGGCUCCUUUUUGGAGGCUCUCCCGGUUCCACAUAAGCUUCUUUUUUUUUCUCACAGAAUGACUAUUACAAGUGUCUUUUACGUCUCAUACUAAAUGGCUUGUACAUAUGAUGUACUAUUAUUUUAUGCUACAAAUAAAUGUUUAGAGUCCAUAUUUUGUACAAAAUAUCCCCCCACACUCUCCCAUGUGUACAGAAGAAAUAGUCAAAUCGUGGCAAAACAGUUUUAUAGCAGUUUAUUUUUGUCUCCAACAUGUUGAAAUCCUUGGAAAAUAAGAUUUCUUUUUGUGUGCGCGUGUGCUUUAACCCCCCCCCCCCCCUGUGAUGUACAUCUAUCUAUACACAGCAAAUAAAGAGAACAUGUGAGUUUUAUAUUUUCAUCCUAAAAAAAACUCAAACUGUAAGUCUUGUUUUUUGUUGUUGCUUCCAUCCAGAAAUAGUGGAUGUCCUUGAACCAUUUAAAAAAAAAUAACAGUAAAAUAUUGUACUUUGCUGCCCUCUGCUGGACAGCAUGCUCUAUUGUCGCCUAAUUAAAUGUUGGGUUGACAAAGUCCAUUUCAAACAACCACAUUGCUACUUUCCAUUCAUCCAUUCGGACUUGUAUUAUAUUUCAAAUUUGAUCUCAUGUCUUCUUUUACCACCAGGCAAGAAAAUGAGCAGUUGUCCCCCGACUGAACGUUACUAAUGAGAUCUAAUCUCCAUUUGAGCUUUGUCCUUGACACCGUUUGAAGGAGUUGCAGCGUGCUCCUUGCCCUCAGCCAUUCACAGUCUCCAAAUUGACUCCUCCAAGGUCGUUUGGGUUCUCUGUGUUUCAUUCACGCGUGAGCAAGCAAUGUUGGCACACCCAUUAAUAGUCCCUAAAGCAACACUAUUAAUCUUAAUAGCUUAAAUCUUGCGUGGUUAAUCCGACUUUUGCUUGAUUAUGAACACAUUGUUCGUCAUUGAGGGUCAAAUAUGUCAGUCGCCGCGCCCGCACCUUUCAACAAAAGGUCACUUGCGUUCAGGGUCGUCGCCUGCAGACUAAAGCGCUCAACUUUAAAUUUGGCGUGUUUUGUUAUGUAUCAAGCUUUUCUCUCACAGCCCUCCUUUUGACUUACACUCAAGCCCACCUCCCCUUAACGCUCGUCACGACCGAAUAUGUCAGAACCUAUCACUAUGGAAACAAGGCUCCAAAAAGUUUUGGAAUUUUUAAGGGAAAAAAAAUGUGGUACUUUACCUUGCAUUAUGCUUGGUGACUAAGGUGUGGGGUGCAGCAUUGAAAGCGUGACUCAUCAGUCCGAAUCUAAUGGGCCUCCACUCAAAAGAUUUUUUUUGAUGGACCCCUCGGCUUAGAAUCGAAACGUUGUCUUCGACAACCGAGCUAGCAAGGCCGUGUUGACAUUUCUUUUUCUCCUUUUGUAAAUAGUCCUCAACGGUGCCAGAUGACAGGUAGCUCUGUUUGAACAAGCAAGUGUUACGACAGGUUUACUUAUCACUGCGUGCACAAUUUUGCAGAAAUAUGUGGCGCUGCUAUUUUCCCCUCAUUUUUCAAAACACUUUCCUCCCCCUCAAAACCUCAUUUGUGCUGCUCAUGAAUCGUCCGCCGCUGAUGGCAGGGGGAGACCAGCCUCGUUACCGGAUGAAAAGAUAAAAGCUGAUGCUACCAUUUUAGGCACUGGCACGAUGCAGCGGCUGUGCCCUCAGAUAACCUCGACGCCAACCGCUGACUUCUGGAACUUUCUCAGACGUGCUGUAUCACGUCGCGAAGGCCGAAACAUUUUCUUUGACGUGCUUCCUAUCUGGGAACUGUCAAAGGAAAUAAAACCGCAAUUCCCUGGAAAGCGGCCUGCGAGUGCUCGUAGAAGAUGAUUGUGAUCCAUUCAAGACCGCUUGGAAAUCUGCGUUCCCGCUGACACUAAGACCAAAGAGGACCUUUCAGGUGGUGGAGGUGAACCUCCAAUGGCUCCUGAGUGAGCAGCUGGAACAUUCCGUGACUCCUUCACGCAAGUCAAGUAAGGCCAGAUCCUGCCACUGAGCGUCUUUGAACGACAACGUGGUACCCGAUUGCAAGGGAAGCAAAGAAGCAUCAACGUAUCGCAACAAAGUGGAAAGUGAGUGGAUGCACGGCCGAGCCACGCGUCAGACGCGCUCAGACUUGCGUCAUGUGGAGGAGGAUGCAGCCAACCUGAGUCAUCUGGUUCCAUUCAUGAGUGCCACUUGGCUCUCCAGAAAAACCGAAACAAAAGUGUUGUUAUUGAGAAGCGGUGCCCGGUGACAUCUGCACCAGCAGCUGGCACAACUCUCCAGACAAAAUGGAUCUCAUGGCAACCAGGUCGCCAUGGCAACCGGGACACAGAUGCCACGCUGAGGCCGUCUGAGAAUUAUCCAGGAUGGAGGCGAGGGCGUUUGAAAAGUGAACCUCUUGGGACCAGUGUGAACCAGAGCUCGUGGAUGGUGAAGAAAGAAGGAAGAAAAAAAAAAGUUUGACCUCAACACCAGCUGGGAGCUCCUGAAGCAAGUGCAGGGACGUUUGUCAACGCUAGACGGCGCUGGACCCACACACACACAAGUGAAGCUGGCGCUCUCUGCACGGCUUUAAUGUGAAGACGUGAUGUCAGCAUGCUGGUCGGAAUGCUAAUGAUCUCACAUACCCACUCAAGUCAUAAAAAUGCCACCGGUGUCAUUUUUAUGACAUCGUUAGCAUAGUUGUGACCAAACCAUGUGUUUGGUUUUUCACACAAUCAGAAUUUUUUUUUUGGGAGUGAGGCCUUGAUUUGUGCAUACCUGGAAUAAUAUUAAUCAAACCUUGUUAGCUUAUGUGUAUGCUGCAAUUGAAAUCAAGUAACGCAAGAUCGUUAAUACUGAGUAAGGAACUCGUUUACUGUGUGCUAUAUUUUGUUGCCAAAUGCGGUUUGGACUGGAACAUUAUAAUUGUCAUUGGAGCGGUCAUCCCUGUAAAAUAUAAGGUCGUAUUUAAUACUGAAACGUGCAAAUACAAAAAUCUUUUAAUCAUAACCACCACAUGGAUGACACCUUAAAAAUGUAAUAACUUGACCUUCAAAAAGAUCCUUCCUGCUCGGACCACAAUCACAAGAGUAAAAACAACUCCAAAAACCGCCACAAGAGGGCGUAAGAUCCCCAAGAAACGCCAAUUAAUAAAUAUUUUGAAUGAACUUUUUUAAGUUGAGGAAACGCUGCUUUGAUAUACAACAAAAUUACCAAAUACCAUCGCAUGAUAUUUUUUGAUUCAAGGCGCA
RNA transcript from Syngnathus typhle (broad-nosed pipefish), 6052 nucleotides. It is a transcript of the gene named serine/threonine-protein phosphatase 2A 56 kDa regulatory subunit gamma isoform-like, with no coding region annotated. The record is from RefSeq and is a predicted model, not a curated record. The transcript has 21 exons. Lineage: Eukaryota; Metazoa; Chordata; Actinopteri; Syngnathiformes; Syngnathidae.